AGGUGGAACACCAACCAGUGU
RNAcentral lists this microRNA (21 nucleotides) under Picea abies (Norway spruce). Its description in RNAcentral is "pab-miR11432". The record is from miRBase by way of RNAcentral. Lineage: Eukaryota; Viridiplantae; Streptophyta; Pinopsida; Pinales; Pinaceae.